This 253-nucleotide ribosomal RNA is filed under the name uncultured bacterium. Its description in RNAcentral is "partial 16S ribosomal RNA". It matches the Rfam family "Bacterial small subunit ribosomal RNA", at positions 524 to 776 of the family's 1533-position model. The record is from RNAcentral.
UACGUAGGGUGCAAGCGUUAAUCGGAAUUACUGGGCGUAAAGCGUGCGCAGGCGGCUUUGCAAGUCGGAUGUGAAAUCCCCGGGCUCAACCUGGGAACUGCAUUUGUGACUGCAAGGCUAGAGUACGGUAGAGGGGGAUGGAAUUCCGCGUGUAGCAGUGAAAUGCGUAGAUAUGCGGAGGAACACCGAUGGCGAAGGCGAUCCCCUGGACCUGUACUGACGCUCAUGCACGAAAGCGUGGGGAGCAAACAGG